Molecule: small nucleolar RNA, 85 nt
Organism: Salvia splendens (bonfire salvia)
Lineage: Eukaryota; Viridiplantae; Streptophyta; Magnoliopsida; Lamiales; Lamiaceae
Product: small nucleolar RNA snoR109
Exons: 1
Source: RefSeq, a predicted model, not a curated record
CGGCUGUAGCUAUAUUAAUCGGAGAAGUUAUCUGGCCGGUUGUUGUUCUUUGUCGACAUAUCUGCUUACCGAAUUUCUCACAUUU